AUUGAACGCUGGCGGCAGGCCUAACACAUGCAAGUCGAACGGUAACAGGAAGAAGCUUGCUUCUUUGCUGACGAGUGGCGGACGGGUGAGUAAUGUCUGGGAAACUGCCUGAUGGAGGGGGAUAACUACUGGAAACGGUAGCUAAUACCGCAUAACGUCGCAAGACCAAAGAGGGGGACCUUCGGGCCUCUUGCCAUCGGAUGUGCCCAGAUGGGAUUAGCUAGUAGGUGGGGUAACGGCUCACCUAGGCGACGAUCCCUAGCUGGACUGAGAGGAUGACCAGCCACACUGGAACUGAGACACGGUCCAGACUCCUACGGGAGGCAGCAGUGGGGAAUAUUGCACAAUGGGCGCAAGCCUGAUGCAGCCAUGCCGCGCGUAUGAAGAAGGCCUUCGGGUUGUAAAGUACUUUCAGCGGGGAGGAAGGGAGUAAAGUUAAUACCUUUGCUCAUUGACGUUACCCGCAGAAGAAGCACCGGCUAACUCCGUG
This 490-nucleotide ribosomal RNA is filed under the name uncultured bacterium. Its description in RNAcentral is "partial 16S ribosomal RNA". It matches the Rfam family "Bacterial small subunit ribosomal RNA", at positions 30 to 507 of the family's 1533-position model. The record is from RNAcentral.